GCCAUUAGUUAAUCAGGGCUGGUAACACAGAGCACGGAGAGCUGGCACAGCUCGUGGGACCAGAGGAUAGCUUCACCUCUGAGAGCAAGAAGAGGGCAAGGACUCAGGGACCUCUGUUUCACCGAUCUACAGCUGGGCUGCUUCACUCACCAGCACCCACUCAGGAGGCGACUUCAGGAUGACCACACCCAGUGCUUUACUGUGAACAGGGAGCUUUCAAAGACAGAAGUCAAAACAACACAUGCUGUCAACAUGGGAACAGCUGGCCGAAAUGAAACAUUAUCUCCUGACUCAGAUUCAAAUUAAAGCCAUGACAAGAACCAUGCUCGUGAGGACCUGGGGAGACCUUCCAGCCACCGCUUCAAUUGCUCACACUCGACUGGCAAAUGAGCAAGAUCAGGAAACACAAGCCCAAUGAUGUCACGACCGACUGACCCCAGGGUGACAGGUUUGGAGAAUGCUCUUGCCCACUGCCCCAGGCCAAAGUCAAGUAUGUCAAUGUUGUGCAUGUGGAUUUCAUUUGAAGCAGCAUGAUUAGUUCACAGACGCCCAACUGCAAUCCCCCUCCAUGGGAAACCCACUCUUGACAGGAAACGGUAUGUUUUUGUUAGCAACAAACAGGCAUAAAUUACUAAAAUGGUGCCUUGGUCGCCAAUUUAUCAC
Long non-coding RNA from Morone saxatilis (striped sea-bass), 663 nucleotides. RefSeq lists it as uncharacterized. Lineage: Eukaryota; Metazoa; Chordata; Actinopteri; Moronidae. The record is from RefSeq and is a predicted model, not a curated record. The transcript has 4 exons.